GCUCUUAAACACUGAUGGUGAUUUUAAGUGAGUUUUAAGUGUGGUGGCUAGAGAACAGACAAAGUGGUUACUAGUUUGUUGUUUUCUGUUUGCUUAUUUUGGAUAAGGGAUGUAGGGACAGGGAAAGCAGGAAAAUGAGUGAAAGUGAAGCUACCAAAAAGCUGGAGCUCUACCAGGUUACAAGUAGAGGAGAGUGAAAAGAUGCACCAGAGACAGACAGAAUUAAAACAGCUGGAAAUUGAUGAACAAAAGGCUGCACAUCAGAGAGCCAUGCAACUGAGGCAGCUAGAGGCUGAAGAAGCCCAAGAAUGGAGAAAACUAGAGGCUGAUAAGGAAACAGAAGUUAGCCCUGGAACUGACAGACAAAGAACUGGAGGAAAAAGAGGAAGCAUCAACGGGCUGUAAUGGAGUGAAAUAGACAGAACCCCACACUGGGGCUCCACCUCUCCAAAAAUCCACAAAUGGGAGUGGUUGUUCUCAGCAUACAGUGAGUCUGGGGAUAUUGCUGAAUAUUUCAUCACCUUUGAGAGGCUGUGUAUGCUCAAUGUGAUUCAUGAGGAUCAAAAGAUGACCACUUUGUUUGCAAAGUUGACUGGGAGAGCUCUGGAUAUUCAGUAGGAUGUCAAUUGAUGAUGCUUCCAAUUAUGGUAAAUUUAAGGAAUUGGUUUUAAAACAGUUUUGGAUUACACCUGAAAUUUAUAGAGUAAAAUUUAGAAGCCUUAAGAGAGGGGCUGGAUUAAGUAAUGUGGCUUAUGUGAACCAAAUUAGAGACCUACUGGAUAAGUGGGUAACGGGAAAAGGUAUUACAAGCUUUGAAGCAAUGUGUGAUUUGUUUGCUCAGGAACAGUUCCUGAAUAUGUCUAAUGAUGAUGUAAAACAGUGUUUAUAGGAUAAAGAGGUAGAGAUGGUUGAAGAACUUGCAACUUUUGCAGGUAAAUUUGAACAAUCCCAAGCAUCUAUUCGGAAUAAAUCACAGGCAGAGGGGUUUAAAUUUGGUGAGAUGCAAGGUCCCCGUUUUACCGCUGGGGAGGAGGAGGAGGAUGGAUAGGAGGCUGAAUGCUCACUUCCCCAAGUUCACUUCUCCUGUCCUCAUCUCAAAUCUGUAAAAGCAGAACAGCCCAUAAGGUGCUAUCAUUGUAAUUCCACUGAGCACCUGAGGAAUAAAUGCCUUGCGCUGAGUAGGAACAGGCAGCAGGUAACUCAUAGAAAUGCUGCUACCCAGAGCACAGAGGCUCCUCAGGCCAUUGCCACUUAUUUUAAGGGGUUUGUAAAGUUUGCCACUGCAGAACCUGGCAAGAAGCACUUAAAGGCAAUCAGAGUAAAUGACAAAGAGCUCCCUGUAUGGAGAGAUACUGGUGCAGACAUUUUUAUGGUCAGAAGAGACCUGGUUCAGGAGAAAGAUAUACUUCCAGGACAGAUGGUAGAGCUUUUGUUAGUAGGAGGUCACAAAAUCCCUGUGCUUUUGGCUAAAGUGCACAGGGAAGCUCAGGAUUUGCAAGCUGAAUUAAUCAUUGUGGCUGUCUCUCAUAAUCCUACACAAAUUAUUUUGGGUAAUGACUUUUUUUAAUGUGUCUCUGGCUGUCCAGGGGUCUGUCAGCAGCAAGGAGGAAUCUUAUGCUGAAGCCGCAGUGGGAAAAAUUAAGCUACAAAAACUGCUGAGGAAAUGGGAGAGUGUCUCUUUAUUUCCUCUGCAGCCGUGCAAAGGAGUUUGCUGGGAUGGUUGAGAACUGCUCCUGUCCCGGGGCUUUUCCCUCAGAGGAUGGGAAUGUUUUGCCUGCUAGUAGGAAGACUGCUCAGGUUGCUGGCUGGCAGGAAGUUGCAGUUAAGCAAGGAACAGAACUCACUCUAAAAUGCAUAGAAAAAUGUGUCCUAGAGGAAAGCCCAGAAAAAAGUGAUGAAGUUCUGCAGUGGGUGUGGAUUCCAUGAGCUCUGUAACUGGAGGCAAACCCAAUUCAAAGAAGGAGAAGGGUAAAAUGCUUACCAGUGAAGGGUCUGCUCUGGCUGUUAGCUGUGAGCCCACAGCUGAACAGGGGAUAGAUUCCUCUCUAGGGAGCACACAGGUGUGUGCCUUAGAGGAAGCUAAGGAGGAAUGUGGGGGGAGUACAGGAAUGUCUGCUCACUAAUUACAGGGAAGGGUUUGCCCCGGAGGAUUUUACUGGAAUGGCAUCUGUGCUCUCAGGCACCCAACCUGUGGCUCAGGUUUUAAGAGGAAACUGUGUAACUGUUCUCCCAAAAGGGAGCAACCAUACAGCUGACCCCUUUGCAACAGAGAGAGGUGCCCCAAUCCUGGUUCCACUAUUGCAAAAUGUUGUUCCUGCUGUACUUGUGAAAACUAACUCUUUCUCUUUAAGGCAGGAUAAAAGCCUUUUCAAUAGCCCUGGUGUCAGUGAAUAUGCUAAUGACCCACCUGAGAAAGGGGAGGAGGCAGCCAUUUCUCCGGCAGUAUUCACUCGCCCUGCUGUGUGGCGACAUGGAAAUGAAUAGGACAGACUGAAGGAGUUUGGUUCUGUCCUCCAGUGUACUGGUGAUUUCUUCAGUUUCUAUGUUGUUCUCAAAUUUUAUCAUGAUUGAACUUACAAGAAAAGAAACCCUGAACAAAUACAUCAAGCAUCCACAUAUGGAGUAGAGAGUCACUUGGCUGUUUUUGAGCUAUAAACUGAUCCAAAAAGCCUCUCGACUCAAGAACAGUCCUGGACCAGACUAUGACUAAUAAGAAGCAUCAUUAAUUGAAGACAGAUACAUCAGCAAUGUUUCAGAAGCAACUCCACAGAGUACCUGGAUGGCAGAUAGAGAUCCUCUGAAAUAGGGGUGUGUGAA
This is a long non-coding RNA of Mauremys reevesii (Reeves's turtle), 2817 nucleotides long. RefSeq lists it as uncharacterized. The record is from RefSeq and is a predicted model, not a curated record. NCBI's taxonomy places the organism in Eukaryota, Metazoa, Chordata, Testudines, Geoemydidae. The transcript is spliced from 3 exons.